This 300-nucleotide unclassified non-coding RNA is filed under the name uncultured fungus. Its description in RNAcentral is "partial contains 5.8S ribosomal RNA, internal transcribed spacer 2, and large subunit ribosomal RNA". The stretch from base 1 to 52 matches the Rfam family "5.8S ribosomal RNA", at positions 103 to 154 of the family's 154-position model. Lineage: Eukaryota; Fungi. RNAcentral also lists the same sequence under 1 other name. The record is from RNAcentral.
AACGCACCUUGCGCUCCUUGGUAUUCCGAGGAGCAUGUCUGUUUGAGUGUCAUUAAAUUCUCAACCUUAUUAGCUUUUGCUGAUAAUGGCUUGGACUUGGGGGUCUUUUGCUGGCUUUCAUUAGUCUGCUCCCCUUAAAUGUAUUAGCUGGCGCCCCGCAGUGGACCGUCUAUUGGUGUGAUAAUUAUCUACGCCGUGGAUGUCUGCUUUCAAUGGGUCUUUGCGCUGCUUCAAACCGUCCUCGGACAAUACAAAUGACAAUUUGACCUCAAAUCAGGUAGGACUACCCGCUGAACUUAA